UCCGGGAUGAUAAGUGAUCAGCAAAAGUGGAGGGGGCAAAAUGGAAAGCUGCAUGCCCCUAUUCUCUCGCGUCUCGCCUCGCCGCCGCCACCACCAGCCAUGGCGCCGCCCCACUCCUGCGGUGAGCCACCCUCAAACGGUCAAACCCUACCCGUCACCCGCCUAAUCGCGUGCUACCACGUACCGCUAGCACCUAGCCCGCUCCUCCACCUGCAGGUCCCAGCGCGCUGGAGCGGCGGCGGGGCCGACGGCGGCCUCCAGCAGCUCUUCAGGCGCACGUGCGCGCGCGGCGCCCUUCGCCCGCAGCCUCCCACCCUACCCACGCACCCCUUGUUGCAUCUCGGGACAGCUCACGCGCUACACACCGAGAAGGGCGGCCCCAUGGGAUGUGGUGGAGGCCGUGAAGAGCAGCGGUGCCGCGGCGCUGCAGGUCGCCGUGGGCAGCGGGGGGAUGGCGGUGCGCGCGCACCUGGUCGAGGAGCUGCGCUUGGACGUCAACGCGUCCGAUAAGUCAGCUUGGUCACCUUCCAAUAGAAAUUGCUGCAUAUACCAAUAGACGGAAAGAUGUUGAGAUCCUACUUCCAGUAACCUGACAUAUUCCAUUUGUGCGUGAUUGGAGCGAUGAUGGGAUAAUCAGUUAUGUGAAAUCAAUGCUAUGGGUGGAGGUAUGGGUGGAGGAUAACUUGGUGAAACCUACUGAAAGUUAGAAGGAAGCAGAGCAUACAAGAGAAAAGAUUAUCUUAUUGCACAAUGUCUCUAGUAAGAAUUGGGUAGUACUAGAAGCUGGGUUGUGCUUUUGCGAGCCAUUCUAUCAAGAUAUUUUGAUUAUUCUGGGUCAAAUAUCAGGGCAUAGUCUUUAACUUAAUCGAAUUGUAUUGGACAAGGGAGGGAAGCGAUUCAGGGACAGGUUUGUGCUUUCUUCUUGAACAUAUGGGAUAUG
Molecule: long non-coding RNA, 940 nt
Organism: Panicum hallii
Lineage: Eukaryota; Viridiplantae; Streptophyta; Magnoliopsida; Poales; Poaceae
Exons: 5
Source: RefSeq, a predicted model, not a curated record